Non-coding RNA from Callorhinus ursinus (northern fur seal), 448 nucleotides. The record is from RefSeq and is a predicted model, not a curated record. Lineage: Eukaryota; Metazoa; Chordata; Mammalia; Carnivora; Otariidae.
CCCCUCCCCUCCACACACACGCCCCUUCUUGCCUUCUUUCCGUCGGAGCGCCUCCGGGUCAGAUUCUGAUUCAGAAGAUCUGGUGUGAAGCUCUAGAACCUGAACGUCUGACAAUGUCCCAAGUGAUGCCAACACUGCAGAUCCCUGGACUUCACUUUGAGUAGCAAUGCUGUAGUAUAUUGUAAUAUACACAUCACCAGAAAGCCUAUAAAAGAAUGCACAGGAAGAUGAACCUCUAAACCUGUACUAAUGCUAUAGGAUCAUUCAGUCAAGGUGAAGCAACAAUCUUGUACCCGUGAGUACAGAAACCGAACAUUAAGGAUGGAGAAGUUGGAAAUGGAAAGGAGAUUGAGUUCUUAACUUUUUUUUUUAAGUAGCUAGAGCUGCUAUUUACUGUCUGUUUAUGGACUUCAUGUUAUACAAGAAAAAAAACCUCUAUUUGCUUAAG